UGGGGAAUAUUGCACAAUGGGGGGAACCCUGAUGCAGCAACGCCGCGUGGAGGAUGACACAUUUCGGUGCGUAAACUCCUUUUAUAUGGGAAGAUAAUGACGGUACCAUAUGAAUAAGCACCGGCUAACUCCGUGCCAGCAGCCGCGGUAAUACGGAGGGUGCAAGCGUUACUCGGAAUCACUGGGCGUAAAGCGCGCGCAGGCGGCCUUUUAAGUUGGAUGUGAAAGCCUACGGCUUAACCGUAGAACUGCAUCCAAAACUAUUGGGCUAGAGUGUGGGAGAGGAAGAUGGAAUUAGUUGUGUAGGGGUAAAAUCCGUAGAGAUAACUAGGAAUACCAAAAGCGAAGGCAAUCUUCUGGAACACUACUGACGCUGAGGCGCGAAAGCGUGGGGAGCAAACA
RNAcentral lists this ribosomal RNA (402 nucleotides) under uncultured Campylobacterota bacterium. RNAcentral describes it as "bacterial SSU rRNA". It matches the Rfam family "Bacterial small subunit ribosomal RNA", at positions 355 to 774 of the family's 1533-position model. The record is from RNAcentral. Lineage: Bacteria; Pseudomonadati; Campylobacterota.